AUACGUAGGGAGCGAGCGUUGUCCGGAAUGAUUGGGCGUAAAGGGCGCGUAGGCGGCCCGGUAAGUCUGGAGUGAAAGUCCUGUUUUUAAGAUGGGAAUUGCUUUGGAUACUGUCGGGCUUGAGUGCAGGAGAGGUAAGUGGAAUUCCAGUGUAGCGGUGAAAUGCGUAGAGAUUGGGAGGAACACCAGUGGCGAAGGCGACUUACUGGACUGUAACUGACGCUGAGGCGCGAAAGUGUGGGGAGCAAACAGGAUUAGAUACCCUGGUAGUCCACACUGUAAACGAUGAAUGCUAGGUGUAGGGGGUAUCGACCCCUUCUGUGCCGCAGUCAACACAAUAAGCAUUCCGCCUGGGGAGUACGGCCGCAAGGUUGAAACUCAAAUGAAUUGACGGGG
This 396-nucleotide ribosomal RNA is filed under the name uncultured bacterium. RNAcentral describes it as "partial 16S ribosomal RNA". It matches the Rfam family "Bacterial small subunit ribosomal RNA", at positions 523 to 918 of the family's 1533-position model. The record is from RNAcentral.